This 255-nucleotide ribosomal RNA is filed under the name uncultured bacterium. Its description in RNAcentral is "partial 16S ribosomal RNA". It matches the Rfam family "Bacterial small subunit ribosomal RNA", at positions 524 to 776 of the family's 1533-position model. The record is from RNAcentral.
UACAGAGGUCCCAAGCGUUGUUCGGAUUCAUUGGGCGUAAAGGGUGCGUAGGCGGCGCGGUAAGUCGGGGUGUGAAAUCUCGGGGCUUAACUCCGAAACUGCAUUCGAUACUGCCGUGCUUGAGGACUGGAGAGGAGACUGGAAUUUACGGUGUAGCGGUGAAAUGCGUAGAUAUCGAUAAGGAAGACCAGUGGCGAAGGCGGGUCUCUGGACAGUUCCUGACGCUGAGGCACGAAGGCCAGGGGAGCAAACGGG